CUCUCUUUUUCAAUUAAUAGGCGGUGGGCUUCUAGGUUUUUGCACCUUCCCCACAACAGGUGCACCAGGUAAGUUGGUUUUAAGUGGAACCUCCAUCAAAUCAGGCAAGGACAUGGCCUGAGAGAGGUUUGUACUACUUAUUGUAAUGGGGGGAUGAAAAUUGUACGGAUGGGCAAUGCCCCACUGUUAGUACACUGUGGCAAAGCCUAAGAAGGCAAUAUGCUUACCUCAUCAUGGAGCAUUUUAUCAUUAGAUGGUAUAUUUCUUUUUCUAGAACUAUUGGCAGUACUAGGUGGGUUUGAUUUUAAUGCCUUUGCAUAGCUAUUUGAUUUAUUUAAUAAUCUUUGGCAUAUCCCACACUUAUAUGUUCUAAAUUGGAUUAAUUGGAUUUGUUAAGGGCAGCUUCUUCCAACUUAUACAGCUCGCAGCUCCUGUCAGUGGAUUUAUGAUUUGAGUUGCAAUUUAAACACCUGGCCACAAGUGCACAUUCUCCAUGGUAAGACUUGGAGCAAAUACCACACAUUUUUUCAUUUUUGCAAACUUUUGACGGGUGUCCAAAUUUAAAACAAACAAAACAUUGCAGCAGCUUCUGCUUGAAUGGUCGAACUUUAAUAAUUUCAUUUUCAAUAAUAAUAUGGGAAGGUACAUCAGCAUCCUGGAAAGUAAGGAUAAUCAUUGAUGUACCUGGGACUUUGUGUACUUUCCAUACAUUUAAUGGACACAUGGCCAGUAUCUCCUCUGUAAAUUCAUACAGAUCUUUGUUAAAAAAAGACCCCUUCCGUAGCUAAAAUUUAGGUGGGGUUUGACAUCUAACUUAAUAUCAUCAUCACUUGUUUUAAGGUUGGAUAGUAUUACAGAUUGUGUGCAUGAUUUGGCAUGGAUAAGGUAACUAUUUUUCAACGAGAUAUAUCUCCCGGUGUAGUAGUUCCUACUUUUUUCUGAAUUAAUUGGCAUAUUUUGAAAUAGUUCCCUGUAACCCCCUGAGAUUCAGCUACAAGCCACAUUGGUGGUUUUGGCUUCCUCUGGUAAGGCAUAACUAAAUCAUAGUCCACAUUCACCUAGACACAACCAUGUUGAACUUAUCCAUGCUUCAUCUAGAGCUGCCCCGAACUUAAUUGCUUUGCACAGCCAUUUGCCUAUUAAGUCACAACCUUGUCUUCUGCUUUAGCCUACAAAUGUCGCCCAAUUACAGACUCCCAUGCAGCAGCACACAAGUUGAGAGAAAUCUCAUUAAAGAACCACAAAUCUGCGGAUCGAUCUUCUCUGCAAGAAGUCACAAUUAUCUGGUCUUCUUUUACUCAUCCUGAUCAAGGAACGAAGUGUUAUUGCCAAAACCGUGAAGGAUGACAAAGCUCCCAUUAAGAGGUUAACGUUGAGGGAAUUCUCAGGAUCUGGAUCAUUCUCUUACAUCUCAUGGUCCACGAUUUCACUCACAAGGCUGCAACCGUUCUUCAUGUAAUGAGAGCUCUACAUGGUCGUGCAACCAAUCAUGGUGUCAUCUCAUUAUAAUAAGCACAGCUGUGACCAUUCUCCAUGUAACAGGAGCCCUACACAGCCUGGCAACCAACCACGGCCUUCAUCUUCUCAUUGUAUUAUGUGCUGCCAUUCUCAUGAAUGUGACUGAUCAAGACAAGGCACCUUCUUGUUCUGCAGAACUUUAUGCUCCCAAGAAGGUUUUAGGCCCUGUGCGAUCUUAUGCCCCAGUAUAAUUAACAAGGAUAUUUUUGUUGCAUCUGAUUCAGUUGACAGGAUGGAUCAAGAACCCCAUAGCCCGAAAGUAGUAGACCCUCUCCCCCUAGAUGCUGACAAUCAAAAAUUUAUAAAAAGCUAUGCGAAACCCGUAGAACUCGUUCACGGGUACAACGACCUGGCUGAAGAGACUGUGGCUACCACUUCAGAUUUUUCUUCGGUUCUCGAAACCCUGGUUGGGCCAAAGAAAGAAAUGAAGGCAUCUUUGGGUCUGCCAUGCUCUACAUUCUCAACCUGGUGAAUUCUCUGGUCUCUGGAUGGGACAAUUCACUUCGAUCUAAUGAUGAUGAUAUUAGUUGUGCAGUCUGAUGAAUGAUGAUGAAUAGACUGCACAGUAAAGUAUGUAGAGGAGUUACAUCUCCUCUGAGGAUGUCUCUUCACCUUCUUCAGGAGGGAGGUGCUUUGUCAGGGGUUUCAGGAGGCUGCAUCAUAUGGAGGGAACCAGUGGUUACUCAGCAACUGGACCAACGGCUUAAUUAACGUGACUUCCGAACUACGUCGAGAGUGAACCUCUCUCACCAGAAAUAAACAUCUCUAAUUCCUCAGUGGUAUGCCCGAGAAUCGAACUCGCGGCCACCGAGGUGGCAGGCCAAGACGAUACCGACCACGAAAAACGUUCGGAAAGUACUUUACACAAACGCUCAACUGAAGGGUGGAGAAAUGUACUGACGUAUGAGGUUCGGUUGGCAUCCCUGCAACGCCGAACGUUGAACAGACCAAUUUGGAUAUACACGAUAACUUCUAAAUCUUAGAUGUGCCAGUUUCUGUCUAAUAUCAAAAAUAUCAAACUGAAAAACCACAUUUUUACAAAUGUGAAGGAGAAUUUCGAUAUAUCAAAUAAAGAAACUUGGAAUUUUUACAAAUGAAUGGUUUAAUGGGAGUCACAUAGGCCUAGAAUGAGUGGCGACUGGUAACAGGUGUGAACGUAAUCUUCGGUGUUUUGAGGGUUUCACUACUGACUUAUAUUUUGAUGUUGUUCCUUAAUUACAUUAGAAAGCCUUAAUUUGUUAGAUUUUUCUUGUAUAUAAAACUUUUACAUUUUACAUUUCAAUUCGACUUCUUAGUCACUAUCAAUAUUAUCUACCAGCUA
Long non-coding RNA from Macrobrachium nipponense, 2839 nucleotides. RefSeq lists it as uncharacterized. The record is from RefSeq and is a predicted model, not a curated record. The transcript is spliced from 3 exons. Lineage: Eukaryota; Metazoa; Arthropoda; Malacostraca; Decapoda; Palaemonidae.